Molecule: ribosomal RNA, 500 nt
Filed under: uncultured Chloroflexota bacterium
Lineage: Bacteria; Bacillati; Chloroflexota
Description: bacterial SSU rRNA
Rfam family: Bacterial small subunit ribosomal RNA
Source: RNAcentral
UAGGGAAUAUUGGUCAAUGGGCGAAAGCCUGAACCAGCAACGCCGCGUGUGCGAUGAAGGCCUUCGGGUCGUAAAGCACUUUUCUGGGAGAUGAGAAAGGACAGUAUCCCAGGAAUAGGUCUCGGCUAACUACGUGCCAGCGGCCGCGGUAAAACGUAGGAGGCGAGCGUUAUCCGGAUUCACUGGGCGUAAAGCGCGUGCAGGUGGCCUGGUAAGUUAGGCGUGAAAUCUCCCGGCUCAACUGGGAGAGGUCGUCUAAUACUACCGGGCUUGAGAGCAGAAGAGGAAGAUGAAAUUCCCGGUGUAGUGGUGAAAUGCGUAGAUAUCGGGAGGAACACCAGUGGCGAAGGCGAUCUUCUGGUCUGUUUCUGACACUCAGACGCGACAGCUAGGGUAGUAAACGGGAUUAGAGACCCCGGUAAUCCUAGCCGUAAACGAUGUAAACUUGGCGUUGGUGGGUUAAACUCCAUCAGUGCCGCAGCAAACGCGAUAAGUUACCG